GACGAACGCUGGCGGCGUGCCUAACACAUGCAAGUCGAACGGAAAGGCCCUGCUUUUGUGCGGUGCUCGAGUGGCGAACGGGUGAGUAACACGUGAGUAACGUGUCCUUGACUUUGGGAGAACUUCAGGAAACUGGGGCUAAUACCGGAUAGGAGCUCCCGCUGCAUGGUGGGGGUGGGAAAGUUUCGGCGGUUGGGGAUGGACUCGCGGCUUAUGAGCUUGUUGGUGGGGUAGUGGCAUACCAAGGCUUUCACGGGUAGCCGGCCUGAGAGGGUGACCGGCCACAUUACGACUGAGAUACGGCCCAGACUCCUACGGGAGGCAGCGGUGGAGAAUAUUGUACAGUGGGCGGAAGCCUGAUGCAGCAACGCCGCGUGCGGGAUGACGGCCUUCGGGUUGUAAACCGCUUUCGCCUGUGACGAAGCGUGAGUGACGGUACUGGGUAAAGAAGCACCGGCUAACUACGUG
This 468-nucleotide ribosomal RNA is filed under the name uncultured bacterium. RNAcentral's name for it is "partial 16S ribosomal RNA". It matches the Rfam family "Bacterial small subunit ribosomal RNA", at positions 28 to 507 of the family's 1533-position model. The record is from RNAcentral.